CCUACGGGUGGCAGCAGUGGGGAAUAUUGCGCAAUGGGGGAAACCCUGACGCAGCAACGCCGCGUGAGUGAAGACGUAUCUCGGUAUGUAAAGCUCUAUCAGCGGGGAAGAAGGAAGACGGUACCCGACUAAGAAGCCCCGGCUAACUACGUGCCAGCAGCCGCGGUAAUACGUAGGGGGCAAGCGUUAUCCGGAUUUACUGGGUGUAAAGGGAGCGUAGACGGCAGUGCAAGUCUGGAGUGAAAGGCGGGGGCUCAACCCCCGGACUGCUCUGGAAACUGUACGGCUGGAGUGCAGGAGAGGUAAGUGGAAUUCCUAGUGUAGCGGUGAAAUGCGUAGAUAUUAGGAGGAACACCAGUGGCGAAGGCGGCUUACUGGACUGUAACUGACGUUGAGGCUCGAAAGCGUGGGGAGCAAACAGGAUUAGAUACCCGGGUAGUC
RNAcentral lists this ribosomal RNA (441 nucleotides) under uncultured bacterium. RNAcentral describes it as "partial 16S ribosomal RNA". It matches the Rfam family "Bacterial small subunit ribosomal RNA", at positions 338 to 795 of the family's 1533-position model. The record is from RNAcentral.